Molecule: long non-coding RNA, 3674 nt
Filed under: Marmota monax (woodchuck)
Lineage: Eukaryota; Metazoa; Chordata; Mammalia; Rodentia; Sciuridae
Source: RNAcentral
GUUACAACCUCACAAACCUUUGUCUCAGGCUAUAAUUCCAGGGGAACCUAAGCUAAGACAGACAUUGUGGAGUUACAGAGUACCUUGCUCCUGAUAAAGUAUCUACCCAUCCAAUUUGAUGUCUUUCUGUCCUGUUUCCUUGGCUGAGAAGGGAUCAAAGAAAAAAGAUAAUGGAGAAUCUGGAGGUGAUUUUCUGUAAGUAGUAAUUGAAUUCCUCUACAUCUCCUUGUUUUAUUACUGUAGGAAAUGGAUACAUCUCAAAAUCUUACCACCAACUGCUUCCAAGUGGCUGGAAUGGAGAAAAAAAAAUGGACAACAAUGUCAUCAGGGACACAUUUCUUAAUAUGCGAUUUGUUAAAUAUGGGAGUUCUCUCCCUCAUGCUCUAGGAAACUGAUACAUAAAGAGUCUUCUUGCUGAAGCAGAAUGGAAGGCAAUUUCAUGGUAAGUUAAACAGAUAUACUGAGUAACACAUAGUUUUGCUUACUGGUAGGAAUAGAAGGAAAAUAAGAACAUGGGCCAAUGGGGAGAAACACUGAGCUAGAAGUCAGGAAAUUGCUUUGAUCAGCUCUGUUACCAAGACAAGUAACAAGUGCCAGCUCCACUCAGCAAGCAGGCACCUUUCUUUUGGUUUCAGCUGAGGUUCCAGGAGCUACAGCUGGAUAGGGCCAGAGAGCAUGAAACUAUAAGAAAGGGUCUUAUAUAAAAUUGAGCCCUGAAAACAGAAAUAGUCUGAAGGCUGCUGUGCAGAGAGGCAAAGAGAGAGUUGCCACCAGGUGACCAUGGGAAGGGAUCAGGGGAAGAGAAGCAGAGUCCCAAGGCAAAACCAGAGCAAAUCUCUUAACAAGCCCAUAUACAUAGCAGGUAUGUUUUAUGUUGUUCCACUGCCACAAUGCUGGAUAGGAGAUUAUCUCUUAAGGACACCAAGUCAGUUCAAAUAUCCUCCAUGUCUUGUUACUCAAAGUGAAAUUCAUGAACUAAUGCAUUGGAUAACUAAUGCAGAAUCUCAGCUCCAUUUCAGAUCUACUGAAUCUACUGCCUUUUUUGUUUAUUUCUUUGUUUGUUUGGUUUUGGCACUGGAGAUUGAACCCAGGGGUGCUUUGCCACUUAACUACACCCCUAUCCCUUUUUAACUUUUAUUUUAAGAUAGAGUCUUGCUAAGUUGCUUAGGACCUCACCAAUUUGUGGAGGUUGGGAUCAAACUUGCCAUUCUCCUGCCCUCAAUCUGCCAAUUUGCUGGGAUUUUAGGUGUACACCACCACGCAUGAUUUAGCCUGCAUUUUUAACAAGGUCACUGGUUGAUUCUCAUGCCCCUUAAAGUUCGAGAAGUAUUGUCAGUGAAUCAAUUGUGUUUGCAUGUUUCCGGGUUGUCUAUGAGUACCUUGUUAAGGAUUUCCAACAGGGAGGAAGAGGCAUAAUUCCAACAGGCAUCUUAGGAAGUAUGCCUGGACACUUGGGUUGUCACGGUGAGUCACACUGAUAUUUAGUGGCCAGGUGCCAGGGAUGCUUAAACAUCCUGCAAAUUAUGGGAUGGUUCUACAGAGUAAAAAAAAAAUUGUCCUCUCCAAAUGAGAGUAAUUUUCCUGGUAAGAAACAUGUUGGCAAUUUCUUCAUCUGUAAAAUAAGCAUUUGGGUUUAUUUGGAUUUCAAUGUUUCUCCCGUCUCUAAGACUCUUUUGUUCUACCACUGUUUUCACAUUGAUUUAGAAAAUUCUCAUUGCUCCCUCUAAUUAUGGCUUCUAUGUUCCUAAGUCAUUUUUAUUUAGACAAUCCAAUGGAACUAGUCAUAGGGAUUAACCAUAAAUUCAUAUCAUUCCCUCAUAAAUAUAUCUUGCUCAUUUAGGUUAAGACUCAGAGAACUCUUUUAGUCAAUUAUGAUGCUGAUAAAACAAAGCAAUCUGGAAAUGCUUAUAAUCAGCAAAGAUUUUUGCUAGGUAGAAAUUUAAAGACCUUCCUUGUCUGGUCAGAUUUUAGUUGAAGUGACUGUCUCCCCACCUCACCUCUAGCUGAAGGUCUUGCUGGGUUGGCAUGGGAAAAGGGACAUUGAUGAGAUGCCCUUCUCUAGAAACUUCUUCCAUUGUCUGUAAAGAAAGAACAACUGGGGCUGGGAUACAGCACUCACCUAGCACAGGCGGGACCCGGGUUUGAUCCUCAGCACAUAUAAAAAUAAAGGCACUGUGUUGUGUCCAUCUACACCUAAAAAAUAAAUAUUUUUUUUGAAAGAAAGAACAACUGAUAGCAGACACAUGGAGGGUCAUAAACAGGGUCUGGUGAACCUGAUGGCAUUGAGAACCCAAAGGACAAUGAGAGAAUCUGAGUAAAGAGUUGGGCUCCUGACAUUGUGGUAUCCCUAUUUAAAAAUGAAAAUAUUUGUGCUGUCAGGACAAGGAAAAUAUCUAUUGAAAAUGUGAAUCUUUGAAUGAAAGAUAAUGCCCAUCUAUAGAACAGGAUUUUCCACUGUGACACACACACCAGCUACAAAAGUUAAAAAAUGAAUUCACAGAAAAUAAGUGCCUCCAAUCACCACAGUAGACAGCAAUAUCCUUUUUAAGACAGUUCAAAAUAAUAAAAACUUGCCUCAAUGUUUUAUUUUAACAUAAAAUGUAUAUAUGUAUAUGAUUUGUUUGCCCUUAUUAAAAGCUGUUUUUUGGAAUCUGCUGAUUUCAGGACUUCCUUAACCACUUUUUUGUAUUAAUGAUAAGUAGAAGGCAUUUGCUGUAACAUCCACUUUCAGUUUCAUUAAAGUAGAAGUAGAACAAGAAUUUAAGAUAGGAGAUCAUGGUGCAGAGUUCUAAUUUUUUAAAACUAACUCUUGCCAAAGGAUUAAAUUGUUUUCAUAGAAACAAUAACCUUUUUACUUUUGACAUUCAUAUUUAUGUUUGUAUUAAAUUAAUUUAAAUUACAUAAUUACAAUAACAAGUUGGACUGGCAUGAACAAGUUUAGUAAUCAGCACAUUAACUCUUAAGUUUGCCAUUCAGCAUGUAGGGACAGUAGGGCAGGGUUCAUAUAUGAACAGUCUUCUGGCCAUGAGUAUUUGUCAAGUCAUGAGUUUGUGUGCCUUUUACAAAGACAGUGGAGAGCACCUGUUAACCUGCAAAAUCACUGAUGUGGAGGUAUCUAAACAGCUGUCUAUUAUGGACUGAAUUAUAUGCUCCCUCAAAAUUCACGUGUUGUGAGAAGUGUACUUUCUCAAUUUUGAAGGUGCAAGAUUUUGUGAUGCAGAUUUCCCAGAAGAAUCAGUGUUCUGAUAGACUAUUUCAAACAACAUGCAUGUACAGAAGAUAAAGUUUUGUCAGACAAAUUUGUAAGUGGAAAAUAUACUUUUCAGACAAUCAUUUUACUAGAAAUUUAGUACUUACUAUGUGCCAAGAAGUGUACUUACCUGAGGACAUCAGAAUAAUCUGUCCUCAUUUUGAGGAGAAUCCUUCAUUUCUUUUUGUUUUGUUUUCAUACUGAGGAUUAAAUCCAGGAGUACUUUACCACUGAGCUUUAUUCCCACCCCUUUUUAUUUUUAAUUUUGAGAUGGGGCCUCACUAAGUUCAUAAAGGCCUCCCUAAAUUGCUGAGGCUGGCCCUGAACUUGCAAUUGUCCUCCGUUAGCUUCCAGAGUAGCUGAAUUAUGUGUGCACCACUGUGCCUGGUAGAAUCCUUCAUUUCUAAGACAUAUUUUCUCUUUA